RNAcentral lists this transfer RNA (72 nucleotides) under Camelus bactrianus (Bactrian camel). It matches the Rfam family "tRNA". From Rfam's summary of the family: Transfer RNA (tRNA) molecules are approximately 80 nucleotides in length. Their secondary structure includes four short double-helical elements and three loops (D, anti-codon, and T loops). Lineage: Eukaryota; Metazoa; Chordata; Mammalia; Artiodactyla; Camelidae. The record is from Rfam by way of RNAcentral. RNAcentral also lists the same sequence under 1 other name.
GGACAUAGCUCAAGAGGUAGAGCGCGUGCUUCGCAUACACAAGGUCCUGGGUUCAAUCCCCCAGUGCCUCCU